RNAcentral lists this ribosomal RNA (252 nucleotides) under uncultured bacterium. RNAcentral describes it as "partial 16S ribosomal RNA". It matches the Rfam family "Bacterial small subunit ribosomal RNA", at positions 524 to 776 of the family's 1533-position model. The record is from RNAcentral.
UACGUAGGGUGCGAGCGUUGUCCGGAAUUAUUGGGCGUAAAGAGCUUGUAGGCGGUUUGUCGCGUCUGCUGUGAAAAUCCGGGCUCAACCCCGGACUUGCAGUGGGUACGGGCAGACUAGAGUGCGGUAGGGGAGAUUGGAAUUCCGGGUGUAGCGGUGGAAUGCGUAGAGAUCCGGAAGAACACCGGUGGCGAAGGCGGCCCGCUGGGGUGGAGCUGACGCUGAGGCGCGACAGCGUGGGGAGCAAACAGG